AUUGAACGCUGGCGGAAUGCUUUACACAUGCAAGUCGAGCGGCAGCACGGGGGCAACCCUGGUGGCGAGCGUCGCACGGGUGAGUAACACAUCGGAACAUGCCCAGUCGUGGGGGAUAACACUUCGAAAGAAGUGCUACUACCGCCUACGUCCUGCGGGAGCAAGCGGGGGAUCGCAAGACCUCGCGCGCUUUUAGUGGCCGAUGUCAGAUUAGCUAGUUGGUGGGGUAAAGGCCUACCAAGGCAACGAUCUGUAGCUGGUCUGAGAGGAUGAUCAGCCACACUGGGACUGAGACACGGCCCAGACGCCUACGGGAGGCAGCAGUGGGGAAUGUUGGACAAUGGGGGCAACCCUGAUCCAGCCAGUCCGCGUGAGUGAAGAAGGCCUUCGGGUUGUAAAGCUCUUUCGGCAGGAACGAAACGGUGAGCUCUAACAUAGAGUGCUAAUGACGGUACCUGAAGAAGAAGCACCGGCUAACUACGUG
Molecule: ribosomal RNA, 484 nt
Filed under: uncultured bacterium
Lineage: Bacteria
Description: partial 16S ribosomal RNA
Rfam family: Bacterial small subunit ribosomal RNA
Source: RNAcentral